CGAAGACAUCCCGAGUGGCCUCGUCUGGUGACGAGGCGCAGCAACCUGCCAACGACCGGCAAGGUGCUUGUGCGCAGCGGCGCAGAUGUGGCCACGCAAGGUUGCGAGGCAACGAACAGUCGCCCCG
This 127-nucleotide non-coding RNA is filed under the name unclassified sequences. RNAcentral's name for it is "SAM-I-IV sequence". It matches the Rfam family "SAM-I/IV (S-adenosyl methionine) riboswitch aptamer". Rfam says of the family: It is found upstream of a number of genes which code for proteins involved in methionine or cysteine biosynthesis. It has been found mostly in the order Actinomycetales. The record is from Rfam by way of RNAcentral.